UCUCUAAAGAACAGUCCUUGUAAGCAUAUGGCUGCCAUUGAUUUGAGUUCCCCACAGAACCCAUUUUCCUCUGCCACUAGCAGAUCUUGCAGGAUCUCGGGUGAAGAAAAAGAAAGCAGAAUUGAGGGACUUGGAUGCAAAGGGAAGGAAAGUGGGAGGAGGUAGGAAACUGUUGUAUCACUCAUUAACACUUGUCCUUUCCCUUUACUUUUGGCUUUUCAAUUCUUCUCCUUCAGAAACAUGUCUUGAACAAAGAAAUUGUGUCAUUAUUAGUUUGUUGUCUAAGUCCCUUGGGUUUGAUAAACAAGCUAAAUGAGCUCUAAGGAACAAAAAAAGAGCUCACUAAAAUAAAGGCAAGAGAUUCACAUUUCA
Cucurbita pepo subsp. pepo (vegetable marrow) is the source of this 372-nucleotide non-coding RNA. Lineage: Eukaryota; Viridiplantae; Streptophyta; Magnoliopsida; Cucurbitales; Cucurbitaceae. The record is from RefSeq and is a predicted model, not a curated record.